CUAAUACAUGCAAGUCGAGCGGACAGAUGGGAGCUUGCUCCCUGAUGUUAGCGGCGGACGGGUGAGUAACACGUGGGUAACCUGCCUGUAAGACUGGGAUAACUCCGGGAAACCGGGGCUAAUACCGGAUGGUUGUUUGAACCGCAUGGUUCAAACAUAAAAGGUGGCUUCGGCUACCACUUACAGAUGGACCCGCGGCGCAUUAGCUAGUUGGUGAGGUAACGGCUCACCAAGGCAACGAUGCGUAGCCGACCUGAGAGGGUGAUCGGCCACACUGGGACUGAGACACGGCCCAGACUCCUACGGGAGGCAGCAGUAGGGAAUCUUCCGCAAUGGACGAAAGUCUGACGGAGCAACGCCGCGUGAGUGAUGAAGGUUUUCGGAUCGUAAAGCUCUGUUGUUAGGGAAGAACAAGUACCGUUCGAAUAGGGCGGUACCUUGACGGUACCUAACCAGAAAGCCACGGCUAACUACGUGCCAGCAGCCGCGGGUAAUACGUAG
This 501-nucleotide ribosomal RNA is filed under the name uncultured bacterium. Its description in RNAcentral is "bacterial SSU rRNA". It matches the Rfam family "Bacterial small subunit ribosomal RNA", at positions 48 to 530 of the family's 1533-position model. The record is from RNAcentral.